This 654-nucleotide long non-coding RNA is filed under the name Chinchilla lanigera (long-tailed chinchilla). Its description in RNAcentral is "lncRNA (ENSCLAG00000025266.1)". Lineage: Eukaryota; Metazoa; Chordata; Mammalia; Rodentia; Chinchillidae. The record is from RNAcentral.
UCAAUUUAAGCAGAGCAUUUUGUACCACAAGUAACUAUGGAAUAUUCCUGCAAAGGUACUGAGCUGGAAAGUGAACCAGUGAGUCUGAGUCUCAAAGUGCAUCCCUAGCUGAAGACCUGGACUUGGAAUCCACAGACAAAUGCUAUUAUCUGAAACCCUAAAGUGGAAUAACAUUGCUCAAAGAAUACAGAAGGUGAGACGAACUGUGAAUUGAGGACCCCACCCUGGGGCACAAUUAUUUUAGAGAUUCCUGAAAGAAAAGCAACUAAGAAAGGAAACAGCAACGAGCUGACCAGAGAUAGGAGGAGAAUUCAUGACAUAUUAAUGUUAUGGGAGCCACAAAAGUGAAAACUGUAGCAGAGAGAUUCGGUAUCUGUUACAAUAAUGGAAAACUGACUGACACAAGAAAUUUUCUGAUCAGACACAUGAAGCAUAUGAGGAAGCAAUCAAGUGAAUAUUUAGGGAAAAGCCAUUUAAGCAGAGGGAAAGCAUCCUGGGAUGUCUAUGCUGGGAUAUUUUGGUGAAUUUGAGAAAAAGUAAGUAGAAAGGAUUUGUGAAACUGGUGCUCAGUGAUUUAUGAGUUGAAUUUAAAAGGUUUCCAGAAAUUAACUCAUACAGGAAUGUUUCUGCCAUAAUAAGAUUUUGGAUUUUAUU